AUUUUCCUUCACCACUGACUGCAAUAUAAAAGAAAAAUAUAGCCUGGUUACAAACGCCCAUGGGGCUGGAUGUGUUGGCUGCCUUUAGUGGCCCAUUCUGCCUGCUAAAUAACUGCUCAUUUCCUGACUGCUGGUGGUGAUCAAUGCCUUCAAAAUGGAUUUAUUUCUCAGGGUCCAGUUACAGGAGUCAUCUGUGCUGAGGUCAACUUACAGGAGCUGUCUGCACUGCCUCCUCUUCCUCUCAAUAUCUGGAGAGCUGCUGGCUCUGCUGCCCUGCUGAGGCUGCAUUGCAGGAGGGUGUCCCUCAAACCACCAUACAACGUGGACCCAAGCUGAGGGGACAAGCAAGCCAAGGCACUGGCACAUCCCUCUGGCAUGGUCUGCAGCUCCCAGCGCCAUGUGUACUGUGCUCUCACAUUUCUAAUGCAGGACCAUUGCACAACCCCUCGAUUUUCAAGGUCUUUGUGUCUCACUUCCAUUGGGCACUGACAUGUUCUCCACAAAGGAGCUCACCUACGGGCAGCAGCACACCAUAUGCACACUGUGCAUGGCCUGGCAGCAAUACCAACCUGUGCCCAAGGAGACAAGAGCCCUGCCGCUGCAGGUACAACUGUGCCAAAUGGGGGUUUGGUGGUGUUACAGACAGGUUUGUAGAAAGUUUUCCCACCCCACACCUGGAACCUGAGACCAAUAAUCUUGUGCUGGAUUUCAUCUGUGAAAUUUGGGAUUUAAAGAGAGAUGCCUGCAGAUGUGCUCUAAGGAUGAACCAUCUGUAUCAGGUAUUAAUCACAGCAAAGAGGUAGAAAAGUUCAGCUGAACUGAAGAGAGCUGUCUCUCUCACACCCAUUUUGACCAGAUAGAAUCACAGAAUCAUUAAGGCUGGGAAAGAUGAGUUCAACCCUCAGCCCAUGUCCUAGUUUCAGCUGGGACAGAAUUGUUUUCUUCAGAGUGUCUGGUAUGGUGCUCUGUUUUGGUUCUAGGAGAAAAACAAUGAUGAUGACACACCAAUGUUUAUAGUUGCUGCUCAGCAGCGUUGUACAGAGCCAAGGCCAUUCUCGGCAAAGGGCCCAAGGAGCUGGGAGGGAACAGAAUUAGGACAGCUAACUUAAACUGGCCAGAGGGAUAUUCCACACCAUAUGACAUCAAGUGGAAGGAACUUUAAAGGGGGCGGGAGUUCAUCUGGCUCUCUUCUGCUGCUUGGGGGGCUAGCCGGGCUUCGGUGUGAGGGUGGUGAGUGAUUGCUUGUGCAUCACUUGUCAUAUACAUUCAUAUACAUUCAUAUACAUAUAUAGUCAUAACCAUUACCCUUUUCUUUUUCUCUAUCUUAGUAAAUAGUUUUAUCGCAACACACAAGUUCUACUUUGGUGUUUUUUUUUCCUGAUUCUCUCCCCCAUCCCACUGGGAAAGGGGGGAGUGAGUGAAUGACUGUAUGGUGCUCAGCCACCUACUGAGUUAAACCACAA
RNAcentral lists this long non-coding RNA (1463 nucleotides) under Numida meleagris (helmeted guineafowl). Its description in RNAcentral is "lncRNA (ENSNMEG00000012305.1)". Lineage: Eukaryota; Metazoa; Chordata; Aves; Galliformes; Numididae. The record is from RNAcentral.